This 253-nucleotide ribosomal RNA is filed under the name uncultured bacterium. RNAcentral's name for it is "partial 16S ribosomal RNA". It matches the Rfam family "Bacterial small subunit ribosomal RNA", at positions 524 to 776 of the family's 1533-position model. The record is from RNAcentral.
UACAGAGGUCCCAAGCGUUGUUCGGAUUCACUGGGCAUAAAGGGUGCGUAGGCGGUCGGGUAAGUCUGGCGUGAAAUCUCCAAGCCUAACUUGGAAACUGCGUUGGAUACUAUCCGGCUCGAGGAAUGGAGGGGAGACUGGAAUACUUGGUGUAGCAGUGAAAUGCGUAGAUAUCAAGUGGAACACCAGUGGAGAAGGCGAGUCUCUGGACAUUUCCUGACGCUGAGGCACGAAAGCCAGGGGAGCAAACGGG